This 264-nucleotide ribosomal RNA is filed under the name uncultured bacterium. Its description in RNAcentral is "partial 16S ribosomal RNA". It matches the Rfam family "Bacterial small subunit ribosomal RNA", at positions 30 to 297 of the family's 1533-position model. The record is from RNAcentral.
AUUGAACGCUGGCGGCAGGCCUAACACAUGCAAGUCGAGCGCGAAAGGCCUUCGGGUUGAGUAGAGCGGCGGACGGGUGAGUAACGCGUAGGAAUCUACCUGGUAGUGGGGGAUAACUUGGGGAAACCCAAGCUAAUACCGCAUACGCCCUAAGGGGGAAAGCGGGGGAUCUUCGGACCUCGCGCUAUCGGAUGAGCCUGCGUAGGAUUAGCUUGUUGGUGAGGUAAAGGCUCACCAAGGCGACGAUCCUUAGCUGGUCUGAGA